GGGCCAUUAGCUCAAUUGGUAGAGCAUCGGACUCUUAAUCCGCUGGUUGUAGGUUCAAGUCCUACAUGGCCCACCA
This 76-nucleotide transfer RNA is filed under the name Oceanococcus atlanticus. RNAcentral's name for it is "tRNA-Lys". It matches the Rfam family "tRNA". Rfam says of the family: Transfer RNA (tRNA) molecules are approximately 80 nucleotides in length. RNAcentral also lists the same sequence under 2 other names. Lineage: Bacteria; Pseudomonadati; Pseudomonadota; Gammaproteobacteria; Chromatiales; Oceanococcaceae. The record is from RNAcentral.